This 253-nucleotide ribosomal RNA is filed under the name uncultured prokaryote. RNAcentral describes it as "partial 16S ribosomal RNA". It matches the Rfam family "Bacterial small subunit ribosomal RNA", at positions 525 to 777 of the family's 1533-position model. The record is from RNAcentral.
ACGGAGGGUGCGAGCGUUGUCCGGAAUCACUGGGCGUAAAGGGCGCGUAGGCGGCCUUCUAAGUCGAACGUGAAAUCCCCGGGCUCAACCCGGGAACUGCGUCCGAGACUGGCGGGCUCGAAUCCGGGAGAGGGAUGCGGAAUUCCAGGUGUAGCGGUGAAAUGCGUAGAUAUCUGGAGGAACACCGGUGGCGAAGGCGGCAUCCUGGACCGGCAUUGACGCUGAGGCGCGAAAGCCAGGGGAGCAAACGGGA